CCAAUUAUUCCGGAAUAGUAAAAAAUUUUCUAUUCCACCAUUUUGAUAUACUAGUGCUAUUUCAAUUCUUAAUUUCAAACUUUAAUUAAAAUUAUAAAAUAAAUUAAAAUUAGAUUAUAUAAAUAUAAUAUGUUAUAUAUUAUAAUGCAUUAUUUUUAUUAUAAAAUUAUUAAUUAUACUAUAUUAAUACAUAUUAUUUAUAUUUAAAUAUUAUAAUAAAAUUUAUAAUAAAUUAUAUUUA
This 241-nucleotide long non-coding RNA is filed under the name Ananas comosus (pineapple). RNAcentral's name for it is "long non-coding RNA (ACOM_LNC013306)". The record is from RNAcentral. Lineage: Eukaryota; Viridiplantae; Streptophyta; Magnoliopsida; Poales; Bromeliaceae.